Molecule: ribosomal RNA, 492 nt
Filed under: uncultured bacterium
Lineage: Bacteria
Description: partial 16S ribosomal RNA
Rfam family: Bacterial small subunit ribosomal RNA
Source: RNAcentral
AGUGAACGCUGGCGGUAGGCCUAACACAUGCAAGUCGAACGGCAGCGCAGUAAGAGCUUGCUCUUACGGGUGGCGAGUGGCGGGCGGGUGAGGAAUACAUCGGAAUCUACUUUUUCGUGGGGGAUAACGUAGGGAAACUUACGCUAAUACCGCAUACGACCUACGGGUGAAAGCAGGGGAUCUUCGGACCUUGCGCGAUUGAAUGAGCCGAUGUCGGAUUAGCUAGUUGGCGGGGUAAAGGCCCACCAAGGCGAUGAUCCGUAGCUGGUCUGAGAGGAUGAUCAGCCACACUGGAACUGAGACACGGUCCAGACUCCUACGGGAGGCAGCAGUGGGGAAUAUUGGACAAAGGGCGCAAGCCUGAUCCAGCCAUACCGCGUGGGUGAAGAAGGCCUUCGGGUUGUAAAGCCCUUUUGUUGGGAAAGAAAAGCAGCAGGUUAAUACCCCGCUGUUCUGACGGUACCCAAAGAAUAAGCACCAGCUAACUUCGUG